UGUAACUACAGUUUUACACUGUCUAUAUCUAAUGUUUAACUGUCCGUCUUAUUUUUUUUUUUUUAAGAUUAGUAAUUUUAUGGGUAUAGAUGAUAAAACUUGAAUAAUAAUUUAUAUGUGACUAUUUUUUUAAUUUUUUUUAUAAUUUUAAAUAAAAUAGACGUUUAAACGUUAGACAAAAAAUCCACUUCUGUACUUAAA
RNAcentral lists this microRNA precursor (201 nucleotides) under Oryza sativa Indica Group (long-grained rice). RNAcentral describes it as "MIR812 microRNA precursor family". It matches the Rfam family "MIR812 microRNA precursor family". The record is from Rfam by way of RNAcentral. Lineage: Eukaryota; Viridiplantae; Streptophyta; Magnoliopsida; Poales; Poaceae.